AAUGGACGAAAGUCUGACGCAGCGACGCCGCGUGGGGGAUGAAGGUCUUCGGAUUGUAAACCCCUUUCGGGAGGGAAGAUGGAGUGGGUAACCACUUGGACGGUACCUCCAGAAGCAGCCACGGCUAACUUCGUGCCAGCAGCCGCGGUAAUACGAAGGUGGCAAGCGUUGUUCGGAUUCACUGGGCGUACAGGGAGCGUAGGCGGUUGGGUAAGCCCUCCGUGAAAUCUCCGGGCCUAACCCGGAAAGUGCAGAGGAGACUGCUCAGCUAGAGGAUGGGAGAGGAGCGCGGAAUUCCCGGUGUAGCGGUGAAAUGCGUAGAGAUCGGUAGGAAGGCCGAUGGCGAAGGCAGCCCCCUGGGCCAAUACUGACGCUCAUGCACGAAAGCGUGGGGAGCAAA
This 400-nucleotide ribosomal RNA is filed under the name uncultured bacterium. RNAcentral's name for it is "bacterial SSU rRNA". It matches the Rfam family "Bacterial small subunit ribosomal RNA", at positions 370 to 772 of the family's 1533-position model. The record is from RNAcentral.